This 454-nucleotide ribosomal RNA is filed under the name uncultured bacterium. RNAcentral's name for it is "bacterial SSU rRNA". It matches the Rfam family "Bacterial small subunit ribosomal RNA", at positions 340 to 786 of the family's 1533-position model. The record is from RNAcentral.
UACGGGAGGCAGCAGUGGGGAAUAUUGCACAAUGGGCGCAAGCCUGAUGCAGCCAUGCCGCGUGUAUGAAGAAGGCCUUCGGGUUGUAAAGUACUUUCAGUCGUGAGGAAGGUGUUAAGGUUAAUAACCUUAGCAAUUGACGUUAGCGACAGAAGAAGCACCGGCUAACUCCGUGCCAGCAGCCGCGGUAAUGCGGAGGGUGCGAGCGUUAAUCGGAAUUACUGGGCGUAAAGGGCACGCAGGCGGUUAAUUAAGUUGGAUGUGAAAUCCCCGGGCUUAACCUGGGAAUGGCAUUCAAGACUGGUUAGCUAGAGUCUUGUAGAGGGGGUAGAAUUCCAUGUGUAGCGGUGAAAUGCGUAGAGAUGUGGAGGAAUACCGGUGGCGAAGGCGGCCCCUGGGACAAAGGCUGACGCUCAUGUGCGAAAGCGUGGGGAGCAAACAGGAUUUAGAUACC